UGCAGUCGAACGAUGAAGCCCUUCGGGGUGGAUUAGUGGCGAACGGGUGAGUAACACGUGGGCAAUCUGCCCUUCACUCUGGGACAAGCCCUGGAAACGGGGUCUAAUACCGGAUAACACCUUCCUCUGCAUAGGGGUUGGUUAAAAGCUCCGGCGGUGAAGGAUGAGCCCGCGGCCUAUCAGCUUGUUGGUGGGGUAAUGGCCUACCAAGGCGACGACGGGUAGCCGGCCUGAGAGGGCGACCGGCCACACUGGGACUGAGACACGGCCCAGACUCCUACGGGAGGCAGCAGUGGGGAAUAUUGCACAAUGGGCGAAAGCCUGAUGCAGCGACGCCGCGUGAGGGAUGACGGCCUUCGGGUUGUAAACCUCUUUCAGCAGGGAAGAAGCGAAAGUGACGGUACCUGCAGAAGAAGCGCCGGCUAACUACGUGCCAGCAGCCGCGGUAAUACGUAGGGCGCAAGCGUUGUCCGGAAUUAUUGGGCGUAAAGAGCUCGUAGGCGGCUUGUCACGUCGGAUGUGAAAGCCCGGGGCUUAACCCCGGGUCUGCAUUCGAUACGGGCUAGCUAGAGUGUGGUAGGGGAGAUCGGAAUUCCUGGUGUAGCGGUGAAAUGCGCAGAUAUCAGGAGGAACACCGGUGGCGAAGGCGGAUCUCUGGGCCAUUACUGACGCUGAGGAGCGAAAGCGUGGGGAGCGAACAGGAUUAGAUACCCUGGUAGUCCACGCCGUAAACGUUGGGAACUAGGUGUUGGCGACAUUCCACGUCGUCGGUGCCGCAGCUAACGCAUUAAGUUCCCCGCCUGGGGAGUACGGCCGCAAGG
Molecule: ribosomal RNA, 821 nt
Filed under: Streptomyces sp. 0112ALTE4
Lineage: Bacteria; Bacillati; Actinomycetota; Actinomycetes; Kitasatosporales; Streptomycetaceae
Description: bacterial SSU rRNA
Rfam family: Bacterial small subunit ribosomal RNA
Source: RNAcentral